This 253-nucleotide ribosomal RNA is filed under the name uncultured bacterium. RNAcentral describes it as "partial 16S ribosomal RNA". It matches the Rfam family "Bacterial small subunit ribosomal RNA", at positions 524 to 776 of the family's 1533-position model. The record is from RNAcentral.
UACGUAGGGGGCUAGCGUUGUCCGGAAUCAUUGGGCGUAAAGCGCGCGUAGGCGGCCCGGUAAGUCCGCUGUAAAAGUCAAAGGCUCAACCUUUGAAUGUCAGUGGAUACUGCCGGGCUAGAGUCCGGAAGAGGCGAGUGGAACUCCUGGUGUAGCGGUGGAAUGCGCAGAUAUCAGGAAGAACACCAACGGCGAAGGCAGCUCGCUGGGACGGAACUGACGCUAAGGCGCGAAAGCGUGGGGAGCGAACAGG